RNAcentral lists this ribosomal RNA (497 nucleotides) under uncultured bacterium. RNAcentral's name for it is "partial 16S ribosomal RNA". It matches the Rfam family "Bacterial small subunit ribosomal RNA", at positions 28 to 507 of the family's 1533-position model. The record is from RNAcentral.
GAUGAACGCUGGCGGCGUGCCUAAUACAUGCAAGUCGAGCGAACAGACGAGGAGCUUGCUCCUCUGACGUUAGCGGCGGACGGGUGAGUAACACGUGGAUAACCUACCUAUAAGACUGGGAUAACUUCGGGAAACCGGAGCUAAUACCGGAUAAUAUAUUGAACCGCAUGGUUCAAUAGUGAAAGACGGUUUUGCUGUCACUUUUAGAUGGAUCCGCGCCGCAUUAGCUAGUUGGUAAGGUAACGGCUUACCAAGGCAACGAUGCGUAGCCGACCUGAGAGGGUGAUCGGCCACGCUGGAACUGAGACACGGUCCAGACUCCUACGGGAGGCAGCAGUAGGGAAUCUUCCGCAAUGGGCGAAAGCCUGACGGAGCAACGCCGCGUGAGUAAUGAAGGUCUUCGGAUCGUAAAACUCUGUUAUUAGGGAAGAACAAAUGUGUAAGUAACUAUGCACGUCUUGACGGUACCUAAUCAGAAAGCCACGGCUAACUACGUG